RNAcentral lists this ribosomal RNA (479 nucleotides) under Streptococcus mitis. RNAcentral describes it as "bacterial SSU rRNA". It matches the Rfam family "Bacterial small subunit ribosomal RNA", at positions 28 to 492 of the family's 1533-position model. The record is from RNAcentral. Lineage: Bacteria; Bacillati; Bacillota; Bacilli; Lactobacillales; Streptococcaceae.
GACGAACGCUGGCGGCGUGCCUAAUACAUGCAAGUAGAACGCUGAAGGAGGAGCUUGCUUCUCUGGAUGAGUUGCGAACGGGUGAGUAACGCGUAGGUAACCUGCCUGGUAGCGGGGGAUAACUAUUGGAAACGAUAGCUAAUACCGCAUAAGAGUAGAUGUUGCAUGACAUUUGCUUAAAAGGUGCAAUUGCAUCACUACCAGGUGGACCUGCGUUGUAUUAGCUAGUUGGUGAGGUAACGGCUCACCAAGGCAACGAUACAUAGCCGACCUGAGAGGGUGAUCGGCCACACUGGGACUGAGACACGGCCCAGACUCCUACGGGAGGCAGCAGUAGGGAAUCUUCGGCAAUGGACGGAAGUCUGACCGAGCAACGCCGCGUGAGUGAAGAAGGUUUUCGGAUCGUAAAGCUCUGUUGUAAGAGAAGAACGAGUGUGAGAGUGGAAAGUUCACACUGUGACGGUAUCUACCAGAAAGGA